Long non-coding RNA from Triticum dicoccoides, 310 nucleotides. RefSeq lists it as uncharacterized. NCBI's taxonomy places the organism in Eukaryota, Viridiplantae, Streptophyta, Magnoliopsida, Poales, Poaceae. The record is from RefSeq and is a predicted model, not a curated record. The transcript has 3 exons.
UAAUGCAUCAUCGACCUGUUACAACGUCAACAUCAUCUGGGUACGAGCGGCCGUAGGUCACAAGGGGGCGUGGAACUGUUGCAGACCAUUUGUGACAGAGCAUAAUCCAGCGACUUUGCCCAGGUGCCGUGACCAGGCCUCAAAGGCAGGGCCUGGGCGAAGAGGUAUCCCCGACGGCCAAGACAAGGCCACGGUGGUGAAGACUGUGGUGAGACAGAGCUGACUCCAGCAAAUUUGACCAGCCAGUGCAAAUGUGUCCCUUGAUCAACUAAACUGGGUGAAUGUAAAAUCAUGGGGAGCCUUGAAGCCU